This 712-nucleotide ribosomal RNA is filed under the name uncultured Leptothrix sp. RNAcentral's name for it is "bacterial SSU rRNA". It matches the Rfam family "Bacterial small subunit ribosomal RNA", at positions 8 to 717 of the family's 1533-position model. The record is from RNAcentral. Lineage: Bacteria; Pseudomonadati; Pseudomonadota; Betaproteobacteria; Burkholderiales; Sphaerotilaceae.
AGAGUUUGAUCCUGGCUCAGAUUGAACGCUGGCGGCAUGCCUUACACAUGCAAGUCGAACGGUAACGCGGGGCAACCUGGCGACGAGUGGCGAACGGGUGAGUAAAGCAUCGGAACGUGCCCAGUAGUGGGGGAUAGCCCGGCGAAAGCCGGAUUAAUACCGCAUACGACCUAAGGGUGAAAGGGGGGGAUCGCAAGACCUCUCGCUAUUGGAGCGGCCGAUGUCAGAUUAGCUAGUUGGUGGGGUAAAAGCUCACCAAGGCGACGAUCUGUAGCUGGUCUGAGAGGACGACCAGCCACACUGGGACUGAGACACGGCCCAGACUCCUACGGGAGGCAGCAGUGGGGAAUUUUGGACAAUGGACGAAAGUCUGAUCCAGCCAUGCCGCGUGCGGGAAGAAGGCCUUCGGGUUGUAAACCGCUUUUGUCAGGGAAGAAAUCCUUUGAGCUAAUACCUCGGGGGGAUGACGGUACCUGAAGAAUAAGCACCGGCUAACUACGUGCCAGCAGCCGCGGUAAUACGUAGGGUGCAAGCGUUAAUCGGAAUUACUGGGCGUAAAGCGUGCGCAGGCGGUUAUGUAAGACAGAGGUGAAAUCCCCGGGCUCAACCUGGGAACUGCCUUUGUGACUGCAUAGCUUGAGUGCGGCAGAGGGGGAUGGAAUUCCGCGUGUAGCAGUGAAAUGCGUAGAUAUGCGGAGGAACACCGAUGGCG